UACGUAGGUGGCAAGCGUUGUCCGGAUUUACUGGGUGUAAAGGGCGUGCAGCCGGGCUGACAAGUCAGACGUGAAGUCCCGCGGCUCAACCGCGGAACUGCAUUUGAAACUGUCAGUCUUGAGUACCGGAGAGGUCAUCGGAAUUCCUUGUGUAGCGGUGAAAUGCGUAGAUAUAAGGAAGAACACCAGUGGCGAAGGCGGAUGACUGGACGGCAACUGACGGUGAGGCGCGAAAGCGUGGGGAGCAAACAGG
Molecule: ribosomal RNA, 253 nt
Filed under: uncultured bacterium
Lineage: Bacteria
Description: partial 16S ribosomal RNA
Rfam family: Bacterial small subunit ribosomal RNA
Source: RNAcentral